RNAcentral lists this non-coding RNA (255 nucleotides) under Cohnella sp. RNAcentral describes it as "T-box sequence". It matches the Rfam family "T-box leader". From Rfam's summary of the family: Uncharged tRNA acts as the effector for transcription antitermination of genes in the T-box leader family. The record is from RNAcentral. Lineage: Bacteria; Bacillati; Bacillota; Bacilli; Caryophanales; Paenibacillaceae.
AUAAACGCAAAGAUCAGGAACAGUAGGGAAUUCACCCGGCAUACAGAGAGCUGCGGGACGGUGCAACGCAGCGGAAGGGAACCCGAAACUCGCCUGGGAGCGGACAUGUGGAAGGAUCGGCCUAAGUCCGAUCAGUACACUUGUACGGUGAACCUCCGUGACAAGGUGUAAAGCGGAUAUUCCCCUUCUGGUAUGGAGGCAGGGACAUCAACAAGAGUGGUACCGCGGAAGGCCAUCGUGCCCGCCGUCUCUUAU